This 73-nucleotide transfer RNA is filed under the name Stegodyphus mimosarum. It matches the Rfam family "tRNA". Rfam says of the family: Transfer RNA (tRNA) molecules are approximately 80 nucleotides in length. Their secondary structure includes four short double-helical elements and three loops (D, anti-codon, and T loops). Lineage: Eukaryota; Metazoa; Arthropoda; Arachnida; Araneae; Eresidae. The record is from Rfam by way of RNAcentral.
GCCUUCGUGGUGUAGUGGUCGGCGCGCUCGGCAUAUGAUCGAGAGGUCCGUGGUUCGAGUCCCGGCGAGGGCA